RNAcentral lists this ribosomal RNA (519 nucleotides) under uncultured Glomus. RNAcentral describes it as "SSU rRNA". It matches the Rfam family "Eukaryotic small subunit ribosomal RNA", at positions 569 to 1089 of the family's 1831-position model. Lineage: Eukaryota; Fungi; Glomeromycota; Glomeromycetes; Glomerales; Glomeraceae. The record is from RNAcentral.
AGCAGCCGCGGUAAUUCCAGCUCCAAUAGCGUAUAUUAAAGUUGUUGCAGUUAAAAAGCUCGUAGUUGAAUUUCGGGGUUAGUAGGCUGGUCAUGCCACCGGUAUGUACUGGUCUUUCUGAUUCCUCCUUCCUGGUGAACUGUAAUGCCAUUAAUUUGGUGUUGCAGGGAAUCUGGACUGUUACUUUAGAAAAAAUUAGAGUGUUUAAAGCAGGCUAACGCUUGAAUACAUUAGCAUGGAAUAAUGAAAUAGGACGCUCGAUCCUAUUUUGUUGGUUUCUAGGAUUGACGUAAUGAUUAAUAGGGAUAGUUGGGGGCAUUAGUAUUCAAUUGUCAGAGGUGAAAUUCUUGGAUUUAUUGAAGACUAACUACUGCGAAAGCAUUUGCCAAGGAUGUUUUCAUUAAUCAAGAACGAAAGUUAGGGGAUCGAAGACGAUCAGAUACCGUCGUAGUCUUAACCAUAAACUAUGCCGACUAGGGAUCGGAUGAUGUUAAUUUUUAAUGACUCAUUCGGCGUCCG